Molecule: ribosomal RNA, 468 nt
Filed under: uncultured bacterium
Lineage: Bacteria
Description: partial 16S ribosomal RNA
Rfam family: Bacterial small subunit ribosomal RNA
Source: RNAcentral
GACGAACGCUGGCGGCGUGCUUAACACAUGCAAGUCGAACGGAAAGGCCCUGCUUUUGUGGGGUGCUCGAGUGGCGAACGGGUGAGUAACACGUGAGUAACCUGCCCUUGACUUUGGGAUAACUUCAGGAAACUGGGGCUAAUACCGGAUAGGAGCUCCUGCUGCAUGGUGGGGGUUGGAAAGUUUCGGCGGUUGGGGAUGGACUCGCGGCUUAUCAGCUUGUUGGUUGGGUAGUGGCUUACCAAGGCUUUGACGGGUAGCCGGCCUGAGAGGGUGACCGGACACAUUGGGACUGAGAUACGGCACAGACUCCUACGGGAGGCAGCGGUGGGGAAGGUAGCACUAUGGGCGGGAGCCUGGUGCAGCAACGCCGCGUGCGGUAUGACGGCCUUCGGGUUGUAAACCGCUGUCGCCUGUGACGAAGCGUGAGUGACGGUAAUGGGUAAAGAAGCACCGGCUAACUACGUG